CUGCAUGUUAAAAAAAAAAAAAAUUCUGCUCCUCAUUCCCGUAAGGAGCAUGAAUAUGUAUAUAACAUGCUACAGAAAACAAGGAGUUUUCAGGGCUGCCAGUCUUGCAGUAAAGGCUGAGUGGUAGUAUAGGUCUCCUACACCU
RNAcentral lists this small nucleolar RNA (145 nucleotides) under Buceros rhinoceros silvestris. Its description in RNAcentral is "Small nucleolar RNA U109". It matches the Rfam family "Small nucleolar RNA U109". The record is from Rfam by way of RNAcentral. Lineage: Eukaryota; Metazoa; Chordata; Aves; Bucerotiformes; Bucerotidae.